Molecule: ribosomal RNA, 526 nt
Filed under: Bacillus sp. MDRC-143
Lineage: Bacteria; Bacillati; Bacillota; Bacilli; Caryophanales; Bacillaceae
Description: bacterial SSU rRNA
Rfam family: Bacterial small subunit ribosomal RNA
Source: RNAcentral
AGCCGACCUGAGAGGGUGAUCGGCCACACUGGGACUGAGACACGGCCCAGACUCCUACGGGAGGCAGCAGUGGGGAAUCUUCCGCAAUGGACGAAAGUCUGACGGAGCAACGCCGCGUGAGUGAUGAAGGUUUUCGGAUCGUAAAACUCUGUUGUUAGGGAAGAACAAGUACCGUUCGAAUAGGGCGGUACCUUGACGGUACCUAACCAGAAAGCCACGGCUAACUACCUGCCGGCAGCCGCGGUAAUACGUAUGUGGCAAGCGUUGUCCGGAAUUAUUGGGCGUAAAGCGCGCGCAGGCGGUUUCUUAAGUCUGAUGUGAAAGCCCCCGGCUCAACCGGGGAGGGUCAUUGGAAACUGGAGAACUUGAUUGCAGAAGAGGAGAGUGGAAUUCCACAUGUAGCGGUGAAAUGCGUAGAGAUGUGGAGGAACACCAGUGGCGAAUGCGACUCUCUGGUCUGUAACUGACGCUGAAGCGCGAAAGCGUGCGGAGCGAACACGAUUAGAUACCCUGGUAGUCCACGCCG